AUAUGGCAGGUGUGGUAUCAAUUAGAUGUGUGAAGUGUACUUAUGAACUCAAUUUAGAGGCUAAUUGAUAUUCUGACCUGCUAAUU
Phoenix dactylifera (date palm) is the source of this 86-nucleotide small nucleolar RNA. RefSeq annotates it as small nucleolar RNA Z266. Lineage: Eukaryota; Viridiplantae; Streptophyta; Magnoliopsida; Arecales; Arecaceae. The record is from RefSeq and is a predicted model, not a curated record.